AUGGGGUAUGGUCAAUGUAAUGGUGACCACACGGUGUUCUACAGACACUCACUCUCUAAUCGAAAGAUCACCAUUCUUGCAGUUUAUGUGGAUGACAUUAUCAUCACCGGAGAUGAUGAGGAGGAAAUAAAGAGAUUGAAGGGGUGUCUGAGCAAUGAGUUUGAGGUGAAGGAUUUGGGCAACCUAAAAUACUUCCUUGGGAUUGAAGUGGCCCGGACAGAGAAGGGAAUAUCUUUGUGCCAAAGGAAAUACACCUUGGAUCUCUUGAGUGACAUGGGCAUGAUGGGAUGUCGUGCAGCCCCUACGCCGAUUGAACAAAAUCAUCAAGUGACAGCUCAGUCAGGCGAGCUGGUGAAUAAGGAAGAUUAUCAGAAAUUGGUUGGGAGGUUAUUGUACUUGUGUCAUACCAGGCCUGACAUUACGUAUGCCGUGGGUGUGGUGAGCAGAUACAUGCAUGAACCAAGGAGUGGGCAUCUUGAUAUUGUGCACAGAAUUCUGAGAUACUUGAAGGGGACUCCGGGUAAAGGGUUGUGGUUUGCGAAGAGUGGACAUCUUGAGGUGGAUGGCUAUAGUGACUCUGAUUGGGCCAGUUGUCAAGAUGAUAGAAGAUCAACUUCUGGCUACUGUGUGUUUGUGGGAGGAAACUUGGUGUCAUGGAGAAGCAAGAAACAGGCUGUUGUGUCUAGAUCAACAGCAGAAGCCGAGUAUAGAGUAUUAUCUCAAGGGUUAUGUGAGAUGCUCUGGGUGAAGUACCUACUGAGCGAGUUGAAACUUCUGAGGAAGGGACCCUUGAAGGUGUGGUGUGACAAUCAGUCAGCUAUUGCCAUUGCUAAUAACCCAGUUCAGCAUGAUAGGACAAAACAUGUGGAAAUUGAUCGCUUCUUCAUUAAGGAGAAACUUGAUGCUGGGAUCAUCAGUCUUAUUCACGUCAGCUCUGGGCAACAGUUUGCAGAUUGCUUGACAAAGGGACUGGGAACGAAGGACUGUAACUUGGCAUGUGACAAGAUGGGGAUGAUAGAUAUCUACCACCCAUCUUGA
Molecule: ribosomal RNA, 1038 nt
Filed under: Triticum aestivum (bread wheat)
Lineage: Eukaryota; Viridiplantae; Streptophyta; Magnoliopsida; Poales; Poaceae
Description: partial small subunit ribosomal RNA
Source: RNAcentral